GGGCGUGGAAAGGAUUUUGGCCCGAUCCGUCAUUUAGGGGGUCUAGCGCAAGUGAAAAGGGAGCGAAGGCGCACACAACAGCCACGCAACAUGAGGCAGCUCGUGUAUCGGAUGUUACCAAACGAAGGCGUCUAGCCUGGAUAGCAGCUGUGAGACGAGCUGAUAUCCAGUUCUCUUCCAUCUCCAGAUAUCUGUUGGUGUGCUCCAUUUUCAUUCCGGCAAACCAGCCUAUGAAAUGGAUGAAACACAUCGUGACUGGGUUCCAGUGCUACAUAAGGGACCUGCUUCAAACAUACCACUAUGCCAAUCAGAUUACUUCUUCCAUGUGAGGGUGAAGAGGUGACCCUUCUGGAUUAGAUGGUGAAGGUUUGCUGCGUUUGGGGAACAGUGUUGUAGUAAAACCAGGGAAAAUGAAACUUGCUCCUGUUAAAUAUUCUUAAGUCUUGUGCUGUUUAAAUAGCGGUAAAAUUUUUUUCAAAAGAUACAGUAAAUAAUGUUAGUAGUGGAUGAUAUCAUGUAAACACUGUCAUGAUUUUGUGUAAACAUUUUGUCAUUUGUAAACUAUAAUAAACUAAUAUAAACUUUGUAUACUGAGUCAAAAGCCAGUAAAUAAAAAUGCGUUUUCAAUCUGGAUUUAAAAACCAUCACUGAUGUCGAUUGCCUAAUGUGAAGAGGAAGAUUAUUCCAAAGCUUAGGAGCCACAAUAGAGAACGCUCGGUCUCCUCUCAGUUUCAACCGUGAUUUGGGGACUGAGAGCAACAACUGCUCAGCUGACCGGAGCGAACGAGUGGGGACAUAGGGCUUCAGCAAAUCAGACAUAUAUG
Molecule: long non-coding RNA, 824 nt
Organism: Oreochromis aureus
Lineage: Eukaryota; Metazoa; Chordata; Actinopteri; Cichliformes; Cichlidae
Source: Ensembl